AGCUUUGCGCAGUGGCAGUAUCAGACCCAGUGAGGUUUAUCCGAGGCACGAUUAUUGUUAAUUGAAAAAAACCUAGUGUUGUUUACUUAGCACAAGCUUUAUUUUCCCGCAGUAAUAUGCACAGUUCCAUUAGAAUAAUAUGUUACUAUUUUUAAAUCAAUUCGAAUAUG
Molecule: small nuclear RNA, 170 nt
Filed under: Suricata suricatta (meerkat)
Lineage: Eukaryota; Metazoa; Chordata; Mammalia; Carnivora; Herpestidae
Description: U4 spliceosomal RNA (ENSSSUG00005001215.1)
Rfam family: U4 spliceosomal RNA
About the family: U4 small nuclear RNA (U4 snRNA) is a component of the major U2-dependent spliceosome. The structure of U4 snRNA from yeast and human has been reported.
Source: Rfam by way of RNAcentral